This 492-nucleotide ribosomal RNA is filed under the name uncultured bacterium. RNAcentral's name for it is "partial 16S ribosomal RNA". It matches the Rfam family "Bacterial small subunit ribosomal RNA", at positions 29 to 507 of the family's 1533-position model. The record is from RNAcentral.
AGUGAACGCUGGCGGUAGGCCUAACACAUGCCAGUCGAACGGCAGCACAGUAAGAGCUUGCUCUUACGGGUGGCGAGUGGCGGACGGGUGAGGAAUACAUCGGAAUCUACUUUUUCGUGGGGGAUAACGUAGGGAAACUUACGCUAAUACCGCAUACGACCUACGGGUGAAAUCAGGGGAUCUUCGGACCUUGCGCGAUUGAAUGAGCCGAUGUCGGAUUAGCUAGUUGGCGGGGUAAAGGCCCACCAAGGCGACGAUCCGUAGCUGGUCUGAGAGGAUGAUCGGCCACACUGGAAAUGGAACACGGUCCAGACUCCUACGGGGGGCAGCAGUGGGGAAUAUUGGGCAAUGGGCGAAAGCCUGAUCCAGCCAUACCGCGUGGGUGAAGAAGGCCUUCGGGUUGUAAAGCCCUUUUGUUGGGAAAGAAAAGCAGCAGGUUAAAACCCCGCUGUUUUGACGGUACCCAAAGAAUAAGCACCGGCUAACUUCGUG